CGGCGGACGGGUGAGUAACACGUGGAUAACCUACCUAUAAGACUGGGAUAACUUCGGGAAACCGGAGCUAAUACCGGAUAAUAUUUUGAACCGCAUGGUUCAAAAGUAAAAGACGGUCUUGCUGUCACUUAUAGAUGGAUCCGCGCUGCAUUAGCUAGUUGGUAAGGUAACGGCUUACCAAGGCAACGAUGCAUAGCCGACCUUAGGAGGGUGAUCGGCCACACUGGAACUGAGACACGGUCCAG
This 245-nucleotide ribosomal RNA is filed under the name uncultured Staphylococcus sp. Its description in RNAcentral is "partial 16S ribosomal RNA". It matches the Rfam family "Bacterial small subunit ribosomal RNA", at positions 96 to 334 of the family's 1533-position model. Lineage: Bacteria; Bacillati; Bacillota; Bacilli; Caryophanales; Staphylococcaceae. The record is from RNAcentral.